Molecule: long non-coding RNA, 410 nt
Organism: Pristis pectinata (smalltooth sawfish)
Lineage: Eukaryota; Metazoa; Chordata; Chondrichthyes; Rhinopristiformes; Pristidae
Exons: 3
Source: RefSeq, a predicted model, not a curated record
GGUCCUAGUGCCCCGCUUCUCAGCGUGGUUCGGUGCAGCUCACCGCGGGCUGGUGAUUUCUCGUUUUCCGCCGCACACAAACCGUGGGCUCCACUAGAAAAUAUAUUUUGGGCACGUUGGGAGCAAUGAAGCGAGGCUGCUGCAACUCCGACAACACUCCAGUAUUGGGACAUGAUCCAGGACGAGGCUGUCUCCUUGAUGAACGUGUGAACAUUGGCUUAAAUAUCCUAGCCAAGGAGUUGUAUAGCAUCCAUAGGAAAUCCCGUGUAUCAGCUGAUACAACGUGAGCCCGAUUUUUACUGGUUUAAACUUUACAAACGAACUGGGACACGAGAGAAAUGACAUGGACCGCAUAACCAUGUUACUGACUGGAGCGACCUAGCCUCGAACCCCUGUUCUGUGAAACACUA